Rhineura floridana is the source of this 1089-nucleotide long non-coding RNA. RefSeq lists it as uncharacterized. The transcript has 2 exons. The record is from RefSeq and is a predicted model, not a curated record. NCBI's taxonomy places the organism in Eukaryota, Metazoa, Chordata, Lepidosauria, Squamata, Rhineuridae.
CUGGCAAAGUCCCCCAAAGGGAAGCGCCGCCACCGGCUCGACUUUGCGCGUGCUCGCGACGAUCCCUCCGAACAAGGCUCCCGGUCCGGAAACCAGUAGCCUCCCCUCACACACACACCACCCCCAGACAAAGGACUCCUCGGGCUCCCUUUGCAAAGCGCGCAACGCCAGGCGCCAAAGGCACCGGGCGACGAUGCGCCGAGGGAGAGAGAGAGGCAGGGAAGUCCCCCCUCCCCCCGGCUCAAAGGAAUCGGCCCCAGCGCGUACAUUGGCGGCGGCGGGGGGGGGGGGCGCUGGUGCUGCGCCCGCUCGAGAUCCGGGAGCGCCACCUGCAGCCCCGCCCACUGGGCGCAUCGUGGAGAGAGAAAACCUUCUUGGACAGACCUCCGUUCUCUGCACGCAAUAAGCCCCCUCAAGUCACCAGGAGUUCGGUCCAGCGGCUGAGAGCCGAGGACGGAGUUGGACCGCGUGCCCCUUGUCGAGAUACUGAAAAUGUACUACAAGCCACGUACAUUGAGAAUUCUCCAAGCAAGGCGCCGGCUGACUGUUUUAACAAGGCUGCAAUCCUAAACGCAUUUAGGAAGGACUAAACCCUGCUAAACACGCUGACGCUUACUAUAUGCGUGGGAUUGCACUGUUAAGGUUUUUUUGUGUACUUGGCUUGGUUUUUUCCUUUAGGAGGAUGAACUUAAACGGGGUGGGAAGUUGCAAACAUCUCUCCUUGUCAGAGGUGAUUAAUGCAAAUAUUGGAGUGGAGUGAUCCACAGCACAAUCCUACGCAUAGUAUCUCAAAAGCGAAUCCCACUGUGUUCAAUGGGGCUUACUCCAAGUAAGUGUGCAAUUAUUUUUAACUUUUUACUUACUUGGAAAAAUUUAUAAGCAACUUCAUCAAAGAGCUCUCAGCCCAUGUACAUUAUAAGGUUGCAGAUAAAACAACUAAAAUCUGCAAAGCAAUUAAAAAGAAAACGUGAAAUCAGUUAAACUUUUUAAAUGAAUAUAGGUAACUAAAUUAUAUGUCUGGGUAGGUGUACUGAAAUAAACAUUUUCAUCAGGCGUCUGAGUAAUUGUGUCUAUAGGCAAAGAUAAAAA